This 92-nucleotide transfer RNA is filed under the name Pseudomonadota bacterium. RNAcentral describes it as "tRNA-Ser". It matches the Rfam family "tRNA". From Rfam's summary of the family: Transfer RNA (tRNA) molecules are approximately 80 nucleotides in length. Their secondary structure includes four short double-helical elements and three loops (D, anti-codon, and T loops). The record is from RNAcentral. Lineage: Bacteria; Pseudomonadati; Pseudomonadota. RNAcentral also lists the same sequence under 1 other name.
GGAGGGGUGGCCGAGUGGUUGAAGGCGGCGGUCUCGAAAACCGCUAGGCGGGUCUUCCUGCCUCGUGGGUUCGAAUCCCACCCCCUCCGCCA